AUGAACUAUCCUUCUAUUUGUGAUGCUGACUUCAUCACAGACAAUGGUGCCAAGUACCUGGGUUCCAGACAUGAUGUACCCAUGCCUCAGACACAGAAUAGGAUGAAACUGAUGGCAGACAACUAUGAUGAUGACCAUCACCACUACCAUCACCAUCACCACCAUCAUCACCACAGAUCGCCUGGGAGGACCCAGCACUCCAAUCACCGGCCCUCUCCAGAACAGGUUAGUCCUGUCUUUCCUUUCCUUACUUCCCAGUUACCCUGUUACCAUGCCAGUGUUCAUGAUAAAAUAAAUCUUCAAGGGGAAAAAAUAAACAAUGGUAAUGAUAUGCUCUUUGAACUGAAACUAAGAGUUUUGUUAUUGAGUUCUAUCACUCAAAGAAACUAAAUGUUUUCUUUCCUUUUUCCGUUGGCAUUUCAUUUCUCUUGUUAUGGUUUUCUUUUCUCCUUUUCUUUCAUAGCAUUUCUGAAGGUUUCUAAUUUGACUAUUAAAAAUAAUGUUUCUAAAGAACUGGUUUUUUAAGUACACAUUUUUGUUUAGAUAGCUGUUCUAUUCCAUGUAUAAUUUAUUGUGCUUGUCUUUUAUGAACCCAACCUAGCCACAAGAAUAUAAUCGGGUUGAAUCUGCUCACCAGUAUCAGCAUAACAUUGUUCUUACAAAAGUAAAAUUUUAGAAAUGCUUUGUCCCACAAUAUCUAAUUCUCAAAACAACUGAGCAAAUGUAGUUGCUUCUUGUUUUAUAAAGUAAACCUUGAAACAUAAUCGAAUGCCUAGGGUAUAUUCUGUCAGCACCAAGAAAAACAAGCUAACAUUAUUUGGAUUUACCUCGCAUAAAAGGAAGAGACAAUUAGAGUAAUUGAGCUUAAGGGGAGGAUCCCAGUGUCUUUUCUUAGAUGUCUUUUACUCCAAGAGGAAAGGAGAAUGGUCUUAGCAUCUCUGUGCCAUAUUAUUUUGCAAGGGAAGUGUCACGUAGGUGUCACCUGCAAGAGGAUGGUAGAACUUGGCUUUCAUUUCUAGCGAUGGUAAAGAGUAUUUAAAAGGGAGUGUUUUCUGGACUGAUAAAAGUGGGUGUGUGGGUACAACUGUGGUGGUUUGAUAGAAAUGACCUUUUUUCUUCCUCUUGGCCAAAAUAAACUACAGUAUUUAAUAGUGUGAGCCAAAAUGUUUCCCAACCUCUCCACUCCGUGUUUCUUCCUGGGAGGGGAGCAAUUUGAAGGUUUAAAGUUUUUGAAAAGAACUCUAAUGUCACUUUCAGGACUGACAACGCUUUGAGCCAAGAAGAUCCCAAAUUUACUUUAUGAGUCCUUUAUGAGUGCCGCAUGUAUUAGCUGCAGUUAGUUUCUCUUGGAGGGAGGGGAAGAGUUUGGACUGAUUCAAGGGUAUGAGUGGAUGGAAGAAAUAAUAGUGGGUCAAUAAUACAGGCAUAUGUAGAGAACAAAACUCCAGAACAUGGAAAUGCAAUUAUGGCAUUUGUGUAUUUCAAGACAUUGGGUUAUUCAGAAAGUUUUAAAAGGUGAAUGAAUUAUGUCUGAGAAAAGUAGGUAGUGUAGAUCAAAAACUUGGGAAAAGUUACUUUUCGAAAUUAUGCUUCCCAGAAUCCCUAAGACCAAAAUAAUAUAUAGUCCUUUCUCAGAUUACAUCUCCCAGAAACCAGCAGCCUCCAAGAAUCAUGCUCACCAUGAAAUAAAGAGAGCUAUAAUAAAAAAGUAAAAGGAAGGAAUAUGGCCUAUAGUUCAGAUACACCAAAAAAGCCAGGAAUGGCAAAGCAAGAGAGGUCUUCAAAAUAAACCUCUCUAUUGAGAGUUCCAUGUGGAGCCCAGUUAGCUCUGUUCCUAGAAGAAGAAGAUUUUUCUUUUAACUGAAAGGUCAUUGUCUAUUCUAAUGGCAAUUGACUACUGCAAUAUGUUGGAAAUGGUUGUUCUAACAUAGCUUCUUGACUGAAAUCCUCAGAAGGCAGAAAACAAUGCUGCUUAAACCAGUGGGGGCUAACCCUGGCCAAGCAGGGCUAUUUUAUGCUGGAACAUCCAGACCGUUGCAGACAACAUAGGAGCAAUUCUUUCUCACCUUUCUCCAGAUUCACAGCCUGGAGGGAAGGUUUCACAACAAGGAGCAUAUUUGUCACCUUUUAACAAAGAAAGGGCAUUGUGAUGUGAGGACAGCUAUCUUUUCGUCACAAAGCUUCUCAGAACAGUACUAUGUGAAGUCACAUAAUCUUGGCUUUCUUUGCGGACACAUGAUGAGGCUUUCUUUGGAGCACCACUCAACUGUGGAACUCCUUCUUAUCUCUAUCUCUUCUGAAUUUCUGGGUGGCAGUGAAUACUCUACUGUUUCAUAUGCCCUUUAGCUCUUAAAACUAGAGGUGUCUGUUCUGGAUGUUUUUAAACCAUUCAUCUGGUUUUAUUUUAUAAAGAGGAGUUUCAACUGUUUUUAACUGAUCUGUGGUUGUUUAUUUCAGGUUUUAAAAGUGUUUUUGUGAAUUAUGCAUCAUUUUGAAGCAUUGGUAGGUCAAAAGGUGGUGAAUAAAUGCCUUGCAUAUAAACAAGCAAGCAAGCCAGCCAGCCAGCCAGCCCCAGAGAAUGGUGCUAUCUCAUGAUGUAGUGUUGGUCCCAUUGAGUCCUUCUCAAUGCUACCAAGUCUCUGCCUACAAUUUUUGAAUUGACAACAAAAGCUUGUUUGUAAAAAUAUAUAAAACCCAGUGCUGCCUCCUCGUGUAAUGGAAAAAUCCCCAGAUUCCCAAUUGAUUAGUUCACUCCACCCACUUCCAAAAAUAAGUUACUUGUUAGCCCUUUUUUGUUCUUUGCCUUGCUGCCCCAUAAACCAUAGAGAAGGUAUCUGGUAAAUAUUCUGAUGCACUUCUAGUUUAUGGCUUGUCUUUAGCUGAUUAUUGUGUGUGUGUGUGUGUAUGUGUAUGUGUGUGUGUGUAUAUAUAUAUAUAUAUAGUGAGUUUUUUCUAACACUGUAUUGUUUUUAUGUUACUGAAAUGUAGAUAUCAAAUCCAAAUGUAAGAUUAAAAUACUUGCCUGUGUGCUACCCUUGCACCAGAAAAAUUUCCCCUCUUUUACUGUCUACUUAAUUUCUGGUAGGGGGUAAAGGACUGAGGUGUAAACUUAUAGAAGUUCCUGUCAAAAAAGAACAGGGGAAAUAACUCAAUGACAGAACACAUGCUUUGCUUGCAAAUGUUCCCAGAUCGAGCUUUCCAGUUCUCCACUUAGAAAGAAGCAGGUAUCAUGUGAUGGAAAAGGCCUCUGCCUGAAAUCCUUAGAUUGAAGGCAGCUUCCUAUACUUUUGACUGAAAUGAUUUCUAAAGCUAGACUGCUAAACACUUGCCAGCUCAUUGUCACAAGUCUGAACCAGCCAGAAGUCUAGGUUUUCAAGAAAACCUCAGAAAGUUAGGUUGUGCCAAAUAUGAUCUAAGUUGUGAUUCAAACUGCUGAAUAAAUUACUGCAAAAACAUUUUUACAAAACCAACAUUAUAGACUGCUUGCUGUCUCUUGCUCCACCUUGUCCCACAGCAGUUUCUGUUUCUCAGUGCCAUUUUCUUAAGAAAAUGGCUUCUGUAUCCUCCUUUGUGCUUGUCCUCAUGAUUUUCUAGUCAGAUGCAGUAUGCCACUGUAUAUAUCAGCAGCUGGAGAGUGUAGGGUGGGCAAUGCAGGUGCAGUGGGCCCUUGGUAGCCAUGUGGAUGCUGUCAGCUGUCAGCUGUCAGCUCUAGUUCAUAGUGCAGUUUUCUUGUAUGGUUUUUUUUGUCUUUUGUGCUUUGAGGAGUUUCUGAUUUUUUACUUCAAUCAAAGCAGGCUCUUCACUUUCCUUUACAUAUUCUGCCAAGGCAUGUUCUUCUUCUUUGACUGCUUGUUUUACUUGUAAGAGUCCUCUGCCACCAGAUCUUUUAGGCAGAUAUAGCUGAUUAACAUCACUGCAAGGAUGAAGUGUAUGAUGAAUGGUCAUGAGUUUUCUUGUUUUUCUGUCCAAAUUGUCCAGUUAUUAUAUAAAAUGGCAAAAUCAAAGUCUGAUUUUUGAAUCUUUUCAGGGGAGGGUGCAGAACCCAUAGAUAAGUCAGGCUGACUGUACACUGAUAGCCUGCGGGGGAUAUUCCUAUAGGGAAAUGAUGGACCACCAUGUGAACAGAAUGUUGGACUAGAUAUGCAUCUCGUCUGAACCAGCAUGAUUCUUCCUAUAUUCCUAUGUUUUUACAUUACAGGUAGAAGUCAGAGAAAUUUGUCAACAGUAUAGGAACCAUUAAGGAAACCUCUUAAACUAGAGUGAAGGCCCCUUUACACAGCCAUAUAACCCAGAAUAUCAAGGCAGAUAAUCUACAAUAUCUGCUUUGAACUGGGUUAUCUGAGUCCACAUUGCCAUAUAAUCCAGUUCAAUGUGGAUUUUAUACAGAUGUGUGCAAGGGGCCUGAAUGUAGUGAAGGGAAGGGAAGUGAGACAACACCAUAAUUAAAUAAAAACCAGAAAGAGCAAAAAAGCAAGAAGUGCAUGUCGAUGCUUUUAGAAAUGAACCUACAAUGAACCAAGUAGAGCUGACUCAGCCUCAAGUGUAUAGAUCCACAGAACUUUCUUACCCAGCCAAGUGAAGUUUCCCAACUCACCUGCUUCUGUG
Molecule: long non-coding RNA, 4605 nt
Filed under: Anolis carolinensis (green anole)
Lineage: Eukaryota; Metazoa; Chordata; Lepidosauria; Squamata; Anolidae
Description: lncRNA (ENSACAG00000038507.1)
Source: RNAcentral